UAGGGAAUCUUCCGCAAUGGGCGAAAGCUUGACGGAGCAACGCCGCGUGAGUGAUGAAGGUCUUCGGAUCGUAAAACUCUGUUAUUAGGGAAGAACAAAUGUGUAAGUAACUAUGCACGUCUUGACGGUACCUAAUCAGAAAGCCACGGCUAACUACGUGCCAGCAGCCGCGGUAAUACGUAGGUGGCAAGCGUUAUCCGGAAUUAUUGGGCGUAAAGCGCGCGUAGGCGGUUUUUUAGGUCUGAUGUGAAAGCCCACGGCUCAACCGUGGAGGGUCAUUGGAAACUGGAAAACUUGAGUGCAGAAGAGGAAAGUGGAAUUCCAUGUGUAGCGGUGAAAUGCGCAGAGAUAUGGAGGAACACCAGUGGCGAAGGCGACUUUCUGGUCUGUAACUGACGCUGAUGUGCGAAAGCGUGGGGAUCAAACAGG
This 429-nucleotide ribosomal RNA is filed under the name Actinomycetes bacterium. RNAcentral describes it as "Actinobacteria bacterium partial 16S ribosomal RNA". It matches the Rfam family "Bacterial small subunit ribosomal RNA", at positions 355 to 776 of the family's 1533-position model. Lineage: Bacteria; Bacillati; Actinomycetota; Actinomycetes. The record is from RNAcentral.